Long non-coding RNA from Cucumis melo (muskmelon), 510 nucleotides. RefSeq lists it as uncharacterized. The transcript has 3 exons. The record is from RefSeq and is a predicted model, not a curated record. Lineage: Eukaryota; Viridiplantae; Streptophyta; Magnoliopsida; Cucurbitales; Cucurbitaceae.
AUUUUCUUCUUCUUCUUCCCAAGCUCCGACCAGCGUCGCCCUUUCCGUUCCCGAUCUCCUCCUUCCGAAGCUGUCGCCCGUUGUUUCCGUCCACACCACUGCAACAGAACGACUCCCCUUGCGGUUCAGCCGCUCGUCGCUGUCUCCCGAAGCCGUCGCCUCUCCUUCUGUAUGUGCUACUCGACCAAGCCAGCUGUUACACCACAUUUCUCCUUCAGCUGCUAUGUGUGGUAACCCACUCGGAGAACGUUUAGCCACUGGCGUCUAUUUUCUUUCAUAUCAAUCCUUUUAUAAUUAAAUUUUGGAAGAGUUUAAACUGCAGUCCAGCCAUUCGGAAGCUCAAAAUCGGACGCUUUGGCACAUUUUAGGCCAUAUUGAAGUGGGGAAAGCGUAUAACCCCGGGGGAUCGAGUUACUGACUGUGAGUGGUUUAUUCUUUUUAAGCUUUCUUUAUACAUAUACACGUUAUCUCUUGACAUUGCUUGGAAACUACCAUGAUCUAAAACAUGAC